AUUGAACGCUGGCGGCAGGCCUAACACAUGCAAGUCGAGCGGAUGAAGGGAGCUUGCUCCUGGAUUCAGCGGCGGACGGGUGAGUCAUGCCUAGGAAUCUGCCUGGUAGUGGGGGAUAACGUCCGGAAACGGGCGCUAAUACCGCAUACGUCCUGAGGGAGAAAGUGGGGGUUCUUCGGACCUCACGCUAUCAGAUGAGCCUAGGUCGGAUUAGCUAGUUGGUGGGGUAAAGGCCUACCAAGGCGACGAUCCGUAACUGGUCUGAGAGGAUGAUCAGUCACACUGGAACUGAGACACGGUCCAGACUCCUACGGGAGGCAGCAGUGGGGAAUAUUGGACAAUGGGCGAAAGCCUGAUCCAGCCAUGCCGCGUGUGUGAAGAAGGUCUUCGGAUUGUAAAGCACUUUAAGUUGGGAGGAAGGGCAGUAAGUUAAUACCUUGCUGUUUUGACGUUACCAACAGAAUAAGCACCGGCUAACUUCGUG
RNAcentral lists this ribosomal RNA (484 nucleotides) under uncultured bacterium. RNAcentral's name for it is "partial 16S ribosomal RNA". It matches the Rfam family "Bacterial small subunit ribosomal RNA", at positions 30 to 507 of the family's 1533-position model. The record is from RNAcentral.